This 1843-nucleotide long non-coding RNA is filed under the name Olea europaea subsp. europaea. Lineage: Eukaryota; Viridiplantae; Streptophyta; Magnoliopsida; Lamiales; Oleaceae. The record is from RNAcentral.
GAAAACCUUUUUAAGUAAUAUUUCAUCAGAUUUUAGCUUCUUGUUAAGGAAACUUAAAAGUCUAUUGAUAAUAAAGUGGUAAUAAGUGGUUUGUCUGGUUCAGAUUGUGAAUAAGACGAUUCCUGCGCUUCUUAAACUAGAAGAAGCAGAAAAAUAUCAGAUUUAUUGGUAUAACUGGGUUUCUUUAGAAAUUUUCACUUAUGUGGUCUUAUGUGCUGGAUAGGAGAAAAUCUUGUGUGGGGCGGGCAUACCAUCCCAUGUGGUAUGCCCACCCCAUCGUGAGUUGACAUGUUUACAAACUCAGUGCUACUAGACGUACAAAAGCAUUCUUUACAAAGUCUUCACAGAAUGACGUGGCAGCUGAGAAUUAAAAAAAGAAAAAGACAAAGCAAACGUCUCCAAUGAUUUCCUUCAUUUUAUUCCCGUCAGCCUCUCCACUUGAAAUUGGGAACCCUAGAAUCACCUUUCCUUCAACCUCUGACUGGCGCCACCAUCCUUCUCAACCUCUGACCGGCGAUUUUAAAUGUGGCCAGAUCUUCAAACGCCGAACGCACACUGAAAUCCGGUCGUUCAUCUUCACCAACGUCCACAAACGCCGCAUUAUUGGUCAACUCAGUCCACAACAACCAGGUAUCUUCACCUUCGUCCACGAACACCAACUGAUUUCCACCGUCGAUGAUAAACUCAGUCCACAGCAACAAUAUUCUCUGUGAAACUUUGUAAUCAAUAUGCAAUUGUUGUGAGAAUCAAACAAAUUCCUUAUUCUCUGUAAAUUAUGAAAAACGUUUUGAAACUUGUUGAAUAUGUAAUUGUUAUGAGAAACUAGUGUAAUUCACUUUUCUCUGUAAAUUGUUGUGGGAAAUUAGUAGAAUGGCAAUCUUACGGUUUCGUUUGAUUCCCGUACAGGAUGAGACGAGAGAAUGUUGGUGUUUGUCAUGGUUGUAGGAGCACAGAGCACUUUUUCAAUGACUAUCCAAUAAAACGAGGAUGUCCAUGGUAUCUACUGGAUGGGAGAAAUGUUUUGAAGUUGAGAGGAAGACUAAUAACGAAGGGCGAUUAUUCAAAACUUGCAGUAAAAUUUGUUAUAUUUCCCUUGGGCCAAGACGGAAGAAUCAUGUGGUGAAUCAAAUACAAGGAAUGAAGCAGUGGAUCCCAAAUUGUGAAAAAAACUUUCUAACGGUCAUUAACUUGCUGUAUUUUAUCAUUUUUCUGCUAUUUCUCUCAAAUUGUGGAGUCCAGUCAACCAUUUUGACACUUGCAAUAUGAAAAAACUUACUAACAGUCAUUAACUUGUAGAUGGAUACUAAAAUUUUGGUUGCUAUUAAUUCUUUGUUGCUUAAAUGGCGUAAAUGGAUACUACAAAUUUUUUUUAUUUGAUUGGGGAUGCCUACACAUUAUGCUCCAAAGUUGCACAAGAAAAAUCGAAGAAAGUGAAGCUGCUCAGUUGGGAAAGGGAUGCCUACACAUUACCUUGUGUGUGUCUGACAACUCAUGAGUGGACUGGAGAAGAGAGUGAAGCUGCUUGGUUGGGAAAUGGAAUCAGCUGCUAGAGUGGUUGGAGAAGAGAAUGUCGGUCGCUCGAACAGCCGAUGCUCAGCUCCGAUGCUCGUGAGGUCGGAGAUGAAGUGGAGCAGCUUAUUUUUCCCUAUUUUCUUUAGGGCUUCCACCUUUUGGGGAUAAUGAAAUGGGCUUUGGCAGGUUAUGAGGUAAAACAAAGAUUUCCCUCUUUUUCUCCUGCCACAUCAUUAUUUUUUGGAAAUUCUGUAGGCAUUCUGUGAGAUAAAAUCUGUGCAUCUAGCUUUUUUCUUUUCUCCUGCCACAUCAUUAUUUUUUGGAAAUUUUG